This 1306-nucleotide long non-coding RNA is filed under the name Cicer arietinum (chickpea). RNAcentral describes it as "long non-coding RNA (CARI_LNC001454)". The record is from RNAcentral. Lineage: Eukaryota; Viridiplantae; Streptophyta; Magnoliopsida; Fabales; Fabaceae.
UUGUUUAAAAACUUCAAUGUUUUUUUAUCACACAAUAUUAUAUAUUUGUUAAUUUCAAACUAAACUUGAAAUUGAAAAGUAAAACCUCCCUCGUAUGUUUUACUUUCUUUUAGUUUUAAAAAUCAAUAAAUACAAAACAAUUUUUAAAAACACUUUUGUAAAGCUUGAUUAACAUACUAUUUUUUUAAUUUUUUAUUUUUAAAAACAAAAAAAUUGUUUUUGACAAGGGAAUCAAACAAAUCCUUAAUUUUUCAGAUUUGGGUUUAAUUUUUUUUGGUGAAUCAGAUCUAGGUUAGAAGGUUGUUGAUGAUGGCUUAUUUAUGUUGGUUUUUUGGGAUUGUAUUUCUGAAUUUUCUGGAACUCUCUUAUAUUUGUUUUCGGGAUUUUGGUCAACUUUAAUUUGGGGUUUUAGAUGUUGAUGAUGGUUUUGAGUUGUUCAUAAGCACAAAAGAAGACUAAUAAAAUUGUUGAACACUGUAUUCUCAAGCUAGAUGAAGAUGAGUACUAUAUUGUUGAAAAUGAUGAACAAUGAUCGUUUAUGUUUCGGAUUUCAGAUUGAGAAGUUGAUUGGGGGAAGAUGAGGAUGAUGUUAAUUAGGUAAUUAUUUUAUUACUAUAUGUUGUUGAUAUUUUUUUUAAAUUUUAAAUUUAUGUUUUUUAUUUUUAAAAUAAUUUUAAUUAAAUUAAAAUUCGUGUGGAUUAAAAAACUCAUAAUAUAUUGAUUUUAUAUAUAUAUUUAUAUAUAUAUAUAUAUAGAUAUAUAUAUUGAUUUUAUAAAAAAAAAUAGGUUAAAUUACAUUUGUGGUUCCUUAACUUAAUUUUAGGUAACGUUUUAGUCAUUUAUCUUUUUUUUUUUUUUCUGACUUGGUCCUUUAAUUUAAUUUUAAGUGACAAUUUGAUAUUUUAUGUUUUAAAAUUUCAACAAUGUUAUCCUUUUUUAUACAAAAAUUCAAAAAAUAUCUCAAACAAAACUUAUAAAAUUAAUUAUAUUCUUCAAUAUAAUACAAAUUUCAUCAAAUUCGUAACGCAAAUCUUCAAAUAAACUCAUAUUUUCAUACUUUAUUUGAUAUUGUUAGGAAUAAAGGACUAAAUCGAGCAGAAAAAAAAAAAGAUAAAAGAAUUAACUGAAAUUAAGUUAAGAGAUCACAUGUGAUAUUUAGCAAAAAAAAAAAAUAUUAGUGCUUCUCAUUAUCCCUAGAUGAUAUGAUUGUGAGAGUUCACCUUAAACUAAACAAACAAUAAUUUGUAAUUUUAUUUACAUUUGUGAUAGUCAAAUAUGAUAUUGUAAUGAUAAAAUCUAUUUCAAC